RNAcentral lists this ribosomal RNA (468 nucleotides) under uncultured bacterium. Its description in RNAcentral is "partial 16S ribosomal RNA". It matches the Rfam family "Bacterial small subunit ribosomal RNA", at positions 28 to 507 of the family's 1533-position model. The record is from RNAcentral.
GACGAACGCUGGCGGCGUGCUUAACACAUGCAAGUCGAACGGCAAGGCCCUGCUUUUGUGGGGUGAUCGAGUGCCGAUCGCGUGCGUGUCACGUGUGUAUCGUGCUCUUGUUUUUGGGGUAGCUUCAGGUAACUGGGGUUACUACAGGAUAGGAGCUCCUCUUGCAUGGUGGGGGUUGGAAAGUUUCGGCGGUUGGGGUUGGACUAGCGGCUUAUCAGCUUGUUGGUGGGGUAGUGGCUUACCAAGGCUUUGACGGGUAGCUGGCCUGUGAGGGUGACCGGCCACAUUGGGACUGAGAUACGGCCCAGACGCCUACGGGAGGCAGCAGUGGGGAAUAUUGCACAAUGGGCGGAAGCCGGAUGCAGCAACGCCGCGUUCGGGAUGACGGCCGUCGGGUUGUAAACCGCCUGCGCCUGUGACGAAGCGUGAGUGACGGUAAUGGGUAAAGAAGCACCGGCUAACUACGUG